Molecule: non-coding RNA, 99 nt
Organism: Xylariaceae sp. FL1019
Lineage: Eukaryota; Fungi; Ascomycota; Sordariomycetes; Xylariales; Xylariaceae
Source: the annotation of a GenBank genome assembly
GACCACGUAGCUCAGUGGCAGAGCGUCGCUUUGGCCCCCCACCACGGGGGGCCACCCUCACUCCGCGAAAGGCCUCGGGUUCGAACCCCGACGUGGUCA